UGGCGACCUAUGCUGACUUUGAUAUCAGACCAUAUGCCCAUAGUCAUCUCGAUCGAUGAACCAACUGUGGCCGCAGUCUGUGGCGCAUGCAACAAUCGCCUUAGCAAGAUCCAUGAAAUCACCAAACCAUUAGCAACACCAUAAUAUACUUUAUGGUUCGAUAAGCAAAGUUACCGGAAAACCGUAGGUUCGAUCGAACGUCUAGUGGACAUCACAGUUUUUGCCCCAAACGCCAAUUCUCUAUUUAAGCCGGAGUAAGCCCAGAAACAGGAUCAAAUAAUAAAAGUUGCGAUCUUGUGUGGUUUACGCAUGUGCAGUGAGAAAGUUACCAAAAAGAAAGGUGAAAAUAUAAAGUUAUAUUUGUGAAAUCAAGUUCGUAAGAGGCGGAUUUGUAAAGAUUGAGUCACGAAAGUAUAUUAUCAGAAAAGAGCCCGUUGGAAGUUGAGGACAACCGCGGGUUUUAGCCCAGGGAGCCGCAACUACGGACUGAAAUACGGAAGACCGAUAAACGACCAGAAACUUACCUGCAACAAUCCACCUGUUUGAAGUAGAUAUUCCCAAUAAACAAGGGCGCAACACCACCAGCGAUCUGGAAACAAAUCCAGCAGAGGACGGCAGCAAGCCAGAAACACAGCUGCGGUAUUAACAUAGGUGCCACUGUUAACUACGUGUAGGCACCCACGCAUUGUACACAACGUUAACACCACACCGCAGAAUUGUGAGCGCGAGGACUGGGAAUAGCACGCACAAAGAGAGCAAGACAGGGUGCACUCUUUGAGCAAAUUACGCCCCGACAGAGCCACAUAAGCCCAAAAAUUAUUUUUUUAUUAAUUUUAAUAUUUUGGAAGUUUUACACCACUUUUUGAAUUCUUUAAUUUUGCUUCUGUAAUGUUACCGGGCAAUCGGCCCAUGAAUAUAUUUUCUACACUUGUUGAUCACGCACCUUAGUCUCAAUUGCUAAGGCCAGAACACUCGCGAAGUGCCACGUGCCAAGUAAGCGGAGUUUUCUUUUUCAACAAUU
Rhagoletis zephyria (snowberry fruit fly) is the source of this 1021-nucleotide long non-coding RNA. RefSeq lists it as uncharacterized. The record is from RefSeq and is a predicted model, not a curated record. Lineage: Eukaryota; Metazoa; Arthropoda; Insecta; Diptera; Tephritidae.